Molecule: long non-coding RNA, 5280 nt
Organism: Cavia porcellus (domestic guinea pig)
Lineage: Eukaryota; Metazoa; Chordata; Mammalia; Rodentia; Caviidae
Exons: 3
Source: RefSeq, a predicted model, not a curated record
GGAAUCAUCUUGUGCACCACACAGGUCAUCGCCAAGGUAAUCAUCAGUGAGGGCAGGUUCCCCUUAGCUUAUUCUAGUUUUGGAAAUCACAGCUGUAUAUUUACACCUGUAUUUCAGGUACAGGACAGAUCUGGCACCUCGGAUAUUUUUCAGGUUCCCUGAAGCACUUUUUGCUUAGGCUUACCUCAUCACAAACAGAUCUCAACUGCACAUCCGCAUGGACAAAAGAUGCAGGCUAAGAAACAUGAAUUUUCCCCUCCCAGAGAGUGAUCUGCACAUAUCUCUGUAUCCUGGGGACCACAGUCCUGUCUGGAAUGGGCACGGCCCUAAACACUGUGUCCCUUAUGGAGACACAGGUUUUCCAAGAAUUCCUUGUACCCACUGCUGCACACAGCAUGGACUGUAGCUCUAUUGUUUUCCUCCAAAUACAGAAGAGAUUUUAUACCACUGGGCUCACAUGAGAAGCCUCCCCCCACGCUCUUCACUCUUUCUGCACCACUGCACCCACCAGGGAAUUUUCAUUUUGCCCCAGGGAGGACAUUCCCUGGCAAGUCUCACAUAAAAUCUGGCUCUAGCUUUGCCUUACCUGAUUAGGAUGCUUCAGUCCCAAUUCUCAUAAUGAGGCUCCCUCUUCAGCUCCUGGGGCUGCUACUGCUCUGGAUCAUUGGAUCCACAGGAGAUGUUGUCAUGACCCAGACCCCACUCUCUGUGUCUGUGGCCCUGGAGAGCUGACCUCCAUCUCCUGCAGGUUCAAUCAGAGCCUCCUACAUAGUGAUGGAAACACCUAUUUGAAUUGGGUGGUGCACAAGCCAGGCCAGGCUCCAAGCCUGUCUGCAGCUCCUGGAGAGCUUCCUGCAUCUCAGAAUAGCAAAGUUGAGGGCUGGCAAUAGUGAGCUCCUGAGACUCCAUGGAUCAUCGAGAAGUGAUGCUUCUUGAAGGGAUCUUAGUCUUACUGACUCCAUGGUGAUUAAAGAUCCUGGCUAAAAGAAACUUUAGUCCUGUGACAUCUCUCUCAUCAAUGUAGCAAGGCAAAGGUGAGCAUCUAAAUUGUGACUCUGCCUCAUCACAUAUUGGGGUUGACAUGAGAGAAGUUGAAUGAUCCUUAUUUUGUCGCCAUCCUUUCCUGCUUCCUGGUAUCCCCUCCGCCUGGGUAGCACUUACACUCUCCUAUACACCGGGUCAUCAAGCCAGGAUCAAGAAAAUAAGUAUGUGAUUUAAUAGGUAGAACAUUAAACACUUUGUGGAAUGUUUUUAGGUCUAAGCUUGUAUUGUCAUAUGUUAUGUUUAUUAAUGUGCACUUGCUGUACUUCUAUGUACAGUGUGGGUAGUUGGCAUUAUGUACAUAACACAUUUUAAUUAUUUUUAAUUCCUCUUGCAACCUUUAUCUUCUCUUCCCUGUCUCUCUAGUUUCCCUAUCAAUUUGCAGAGCAUUUAGCAGCUUAUUUUGUAUUAUCUGUCUUAUUUUGCUAUUUAAUCUAUUAAUACUUUGGAUUUCACAUCUAAGAGAAACAAUGGGAUAUGUACGGUUGUGUGUUGAUAUAUUUCAUCUAACAUAAGGGUCUCAAGCUGCAUUCAUUUUCGUACAAAUGACUCAUUCAUUUUUAUGGCUUGGGAGUACUCCACUGUGUAAGUACAUUUCUUUAUAUCCAUUCAUCUGUCCAUAGUUAUGAGCUGCAUCCAAUAUUGAGUGCUUAUAAGUUGUGCUGCUCUGAACAUGGCUAUGAAUGAAUCAUUGUAAUUAGAUGUCCUGAACCCUUUGUGGAAAAUAACUAGAACCAGAAGAGUGGAGUCAAGCUGAAUUUCUAUUUUUAGGUUUUUGCAGGCUCUGCAUAUAGAGAUCCAUGCUGGUUGUACUAGUUUCCAUCUCUACCAACCAAACAGAAGAGUGUAUUUUUCCCCACAGCCUCACCAAUAUUUCGUGUUAUUUGAUUUCUAUAGGGUGGCCAUUUUUCCUGUGAGAAAAUGUAACCUCACUGUUGUUUUAAUUUGCAUUUUUCUCAGAGCUGGUAAUACUGAAAAUUUCUUUAUAUAUUUACCAUUUAUUCUUCUUCUUCUAAUAACUUAUUGUUCUUCUUCUAAAAACUUAUUAUUCUUUUUCUAAAAACUCUCUGGCCCUUUCAUUUACCCAUUUUUGAUUGACUCUUAUUUAGGAGGUCUGUUGAUUUUAGAGUUUUUUACAUGUUGUCAGUAUUAAUCUCCUUCCUAAUGAGCAUGGGGCAAAGAAUUCUCCUCGUUCUACAUUUUGUUUUUUCACUCUUUCAGCUGCAUCUUUAACUACACAGAAGCAUUUUAAUUUAAUAUAAUUUAAUUUGUUGUUUCUUGAUGUUAUUUCUGGUACACUGGGGUUCUGUUCAAAAAGGCUUUAUUUAUUCUUAUGCUCUCAAAAUUUUAUCUAUAUUAUUAUCUACCUGAAGAUUAAGUGCUUCUGUAUUAAAGUCCAGGCUUUUGAUUCAUAUUUAUUAUAUUUUACUGUAUGAUGAGAAAUACAGGUUUAGGCUGAAUAUUCUCACUGUGUAGCCAGUUUUCCUAAUGCUAUCUGUUAAACAGGCUGUCUUUCCACCAAGCACAGAUAUUUGAGGAAGCUCUGUACAUUUAAUCUGUCCAAUUAUUGAAAACAGGCUCACACAGAACAGUUUUUGUGCAAGAUCCUUUCUGUUGUCUUCCUCACAUGCUCUUCUAGUCAUAAGAAUCCAACCUCACACACAACCCUACCCCAGCCAAGUACAGAACACAAACCAUUCUCCAUGUUACACAAAACCCAGUGUCUAAUGUGGGCUAAUGAUCUUGUGAUAUCCGCUUAUACUCCUGCUCUCAACCCAGCACCUGAUCACAACGGUCAUGAUUAAAUGCUCCACUUCCAGAUACCACCUUCUAAGUGAAAGAGCCACCACACUCUCAUCAGGGUCAGAGUCACAAUGGGGAGCCUGCUGAGCAGGGGCAAUGGUACCUGGCAAGGAAGUGAGGAGGAGAAGAAUUCAGCAAUCCAUGGGUAAAAAGCAGGCCAAGGGAACAGACAUUGGGAGAAAGCAGGUCUGGUAAGAUGUACAGUUAGUCAGUAGAGAGCAGGCAGGGCAGACCACACAGGAACUCUUUGCAGAGCUCAGAAAAGUCCCAAUUCCAAGACUGCAGGUUUAGCUCAGUGGCAGAGUGCUUCAUUAGGAUCCUGAGAGCCUGGCUUCACUCUUAAAUAUCCACAAACAGAAGAAACAGAUAGAAGAAAGCUCCCAUCUUCAUCCAUCACCAGACCAGUCUCCUCUGAAUCUGUGGACAUGGAUCAGGACAUGAGGAGUGUUCAGGGUUCUGUACCAGAUUCGAAACUCAGCAGCCAAGGAUGGCAACCAGGCUUGGGUCUUGGGGACCACAGCAAUAAAUCACUGAAAACUUUAAGAACAUAGCUGAUUUCAUGUAUUUCUUUAUUUUGGGUGAAUUAUUUUUAUUAUCAUUAUUUUGUGUUUCAUAUGAGAGAUGGAUCAUUCAUACAUUCAAAUGAAAAAUCACAGCAUUGGGGACAAUUCCUUGACUUACACAGGAUGGCUAAGAUGAACAGCUGGGGAUGUCAUGCUGCAUCUGAUGAGAUCUCCUCCAUACCUCCUCCAUUGGGAAGAAAACCUCUGGCCAGAGAAAGAUACCCUCAAGCAUUCACGCAUCAGGAUUGUUAAGUUUUUUGCCAGCAAAUGAAGACUUCAGCUCUUGAAAUGCUCUAAUCAGCUCUCAGACAGGUUCAGGACCUUCACAUCACCCGAGGCUUAGGAAGUCCACAAAUCAAGUGACAUUAGGGCUCAUUGUUGGGAGACCACACUCUGUCCACUGAUGAGAUUUUGCACAUGAGCUCAGGUCCAUAUUCCAGUCUCACCAUUUAACACUGUGUAUGCACUGUCUCCAAUUGUAGAGCAAAAUACCAUGUAGAUCUUACUUUUGCAUUGUCUACGAAAUUAUAGUUAAGACUAUUACUCAACUCAGUUCUUAACACUCCCAUGCAAUUCCCUGAGAGAAACAUGAUCCUCAAAAUUUUGCACUACAAAAACAAUGAGCCAGAUUUAAGAACAGGAAUUCUUCCACAAAUGAGAAAUCUAUAACAUAAUACUUUACUUUCUUUGCACUGGGGUCCAAGAAGCUCAGUGUUAGAGCAUAUCCACGGUCAUGGGACUUUUUUUCCUUUUAGGAUAGUUAUGUAGUAUUAAAAUUUAUGUUUAUGAAAAGUAAACAUUUCAGGACAUAUUUCUAUUGAUUUUGAUACAUACAUACAUACAUACAUACACACACACACACACACACACAUACAUCUUCAAAAACCUAUUUGGUCUUUAGAGCAGGUCCAGCAUCCUUAGACAUUCCAGGGUGCACUCUGUUCACUCACCACAAACACACCUAAGACUCACUGCUUGCCUACCCCUGCAUAAACUCUCUGGAUGUUUCACAUGUUCAUAUGCAGCUUUCCUGUAAUGAGAACAUCACAAACUAUUUGAAUUGUUGUUUUUCUCUAUAGAAAAGGUUGUUUUAAGCUUUGUAGAAUAUAUAUCAAUUAUUCUUGUUUUCAUAAUUCUGUGGGUUUCUCAAGUGUAGGUGAAGCUCUCAUCUUGGUGCAUCCCCAUUACAUCUGUGCAUGGCACCACCCACAUCACCAGGUGUUUUACCUGAUAGCAUUCAACAUGUCUGUUAUCGCAGUAAACACCUGCAUACCAAGCAAGUAAAGAAAGGCCACUUCAUAGAGAGACAACUUGAAGAUCCAGUGCAGAACUUCAACAAUUACAAGUGGUCCAUGAGACUCAUCUUCAUCGCUUCUAUGCUUCAAAGAACAGUCAGUGCUUAUUUCCAUUUGAAAGUGGAUGCAUGAAUGGAAUUAGUUAGCACAUUGCAAGUUUUUCUUCUUCAGAAACAGACUUCUUUUAAUGAACUGAAUUUGAAAUUAACUGACUGUGAAGUAGAAUAUCUGGGGAACCCUUAAUUCCUGUGGACUGAGGAUCUUCAGUGCUGACAUCUGGAAAGCACACAAGGAGGCAGCACACACAGGAGCAGCCUAGAGAGGGGCCGGGAGAUAAAAUUCUGACAGAUGGAAAGGUAAGGGACACAGUCUCAGGCACACCUCUAGGAGCUGAAGAAUCACAGAUUCCCUUCUAGAUCGUCCAGAGUGAGUUCAUCCUGACAGCAUCCUGGCUCUAUCACACUAAGGACUGAGAUGUACUUAUGACCUCCAGAACUGUAAAAUGAUGACUUUUGAAUGUUCAAGACAUAAUUGCAUACAAAGUCUUACUGUACAAAUAAAAAAGUAAUGUGAAUGUC